GGUCAAGCUACAAAGAGCUAACGGUGGAUCCCUAGGCACACAGAGGCGAAGAAGGACGUGGCGACCGACGAAACGCUCCGAGGAGCUGGAAGCAAGCAGAGAUCCGGAGGUAUCCGAAUAGGGCAACCUAUAAACUACUCGCUGAAUCCAUAGGCGAGUGAGAGCGAACCCAGCGAACUGAAACAUCUUAGUAGCUGGAGGAAAAGAAAGCAAAAGCGAUUUCCUAAGUAGUGGUGAGCGAAAGGGAAACAGCCUAAACCUUCUGUUUUUACAGAGGGGGUAGUGGGACAGCAUCAAAGGAUUGUAGAGGUUAAACGAAGCAGUUGAAAACUGCACCAGAGAAGGUGAAAGUCCUGUAGUUGAAAACUAAAGCAACCGAGCUGUAUCCCGAGUAGCACGGAGCCCGUGAAAGUCCGUGUGAAUCCGCCUCGACCACGAGGAAUGCUAAAUACUCCUGUGUGACCGAUAGAGAACCAGUACCGUGAGGGAAAGGUGAAAGAACCCCGGGAGGGGAGUGAAAUAGAACCUG
Molecule: non-coding RNA, 529 nt
Filed under: Lyngbya sp. PCC 8106
Lineage: Bacteria; Bacillati; Cyanobacteriota; Cyanophyceae; Oscillatoriales; Microcoleaceae
Description: Bacterial large subunit ribosomal RNA
Rfam family: Bacterial large subunit ribosomal RNA
Source: Rfam by way of RNAcentral